CCACUCUCACGAAAACAAAAAGAGGCUGAAGGUCGUCACUUUCUUCUUCCCUAACUUCGACCCAUACCGAUCGUCACCGGAACCCACAUAGCCAGUCGUCACCGGCACCUACAUCACAAGAACUGCUUCCCAUAGACAGUCGCCACCACUUUAAGGCCGCUGGGUAGAUUAUGAAAACGGAAAUGUCGAUGUGCAGAAUAAGAAGUCAAAUUUGGAGCAAUAUGUGACACAAUUGGAUCAAUUGAGGGUAUACCCAUCAUCGUUCGGUGUUGUCGAGGGAUUGUGGGUUGAUUUUGGUGGAAAAAGAGCUCUAAUUUUGCCAGUUGGAAAAACCAAAAUUUUCCCAGUUAGCAAGUGAUUCAAGGCAAAAUUAUUGUCCAAAUUUGGGUAAGUUUGGGGCAUUGAUUGAAGCAAUUGAGGACACAUUAGUGGUCGUAUGAUGCUACUAAUCGAUUGGCAACGAUGCCCGACUGUAUGUGUCAUCGGAAUCUAUAGAUUUCGAAGUUGGACUGCCCGAUUCCCAUGGCUUUAAGGAUGAUUUUGAUAUCCAUAUUAGUUUCUUUCAUUUAAUUGUGGGAGAUGUCUUUGUGAAAUGUAGUUGCCGGCUAGGGGAUGAAAUUCUGGCGGAUGGAGUGGCUCGCGGUUGCCCUUUUUUUUUGUUUGUUUGGGUGGAGUGGGAGAAAGG
RNAcentral lists this long non-coding RNA (685 nucleotides) under Olea europaea subsp. europaea. Lineage: Eukaryota; Viridiplantae; Streptophyta; Magnoliopsida; Lamiales; Oleaceae. The record is from RNAcentral.